UCCGUGUUCACCACGGCAGUCUCUCUAGAGAGCCCAACUGAAUGCUGGCAACUAGAGACAAGGGUUGCGCUCGUUGCGGGACUUAACCCAACAUGUCACCACACGAGCUGACGACAGCCAUGCAGCACCUGUCUUCCGGUCGUAUUGCUACGAACUCCCGAUCUCUCGGGAUAGCCGGAGAUGUCAAACCCAGGUAAGGUUCUUCGCGUUGCUUCGAAUUAAACCACAUGAUCCACCGCUUGUGCGGGCCCCCGUCAAUUCCUUUGAGUUUUAGUCUUGCGACCGUACUUCCCAGGCGGGGCACUUAUCGCGUUAGCUCAGACUCGGCAGGGGUCAAGACCCGCCAAAUCGAGUGCCCAUCGUUUACAGCGUGGACUAC
Molecule: unclassified non-coding RNA, 379 nt
Filed under: uncultured Oligoflexales bacterium
Lineage: Bacteria; Pseudomonadati; Bdellovibrionota; Oligoflexia; Oligoflexales
Description: contains 16S-23S intergenic spacer region
Source: RNAcentral